UACGGAGGGUGCAAGCGUUAAUCGGAAUUAUUGGGCGUAAAGAGCACGUAGGCGGUUUGACAAGUCGAACGUGAAAACCCAAACCUUAAUUUUGGGAAUGCAUUCGAAACUGUCAGAAUCGAGGGUGGACGGAGAGAGCGGAAUUCCACAUGUAGCGGUGAAAUGCGUAGAUAUGUGGAAGAACACCGGUGGCGAAAGCGGCUCUCUAGUUUAUUCCUGACGAUGAGGUGCGAAAGCAAGGGGAGCAAACAGG
Molecule: ribosomal RNA, 253 nt
Filed under: uncultured bacterium
Lineage: Bacteria
Description: partial 16S ribosomal RNA
Rfam family: Bacterial small subunit ribosomal RNA
Source: RNAcentral